RNAcentral lists this ribosomal RNA (309 nucleotides) under Triticum aestivum (bread wheat). RNAcentral describes it as "partial small subunit ribosomal RNA". The record is from RNAcentral. Lineage: Eukaryota; Viridiplantae; Streptophyta; Magnoliopsida; Poales; Poaceae.
AUGAAGGGCCUUAUAGUUCAGCUGUGGCCUGGAGAGGCCCUGCCUGGGAGCUACUUCGGGCUGGUGAGGCGGCUGGUGGAUGCCUGUCCGUGGCUCGAAGUCGUCAAGCGCUCCGUCUGCAUUGAAGGUGCCCGUAGGGCGCUUGCCCGUGCUAAAGUGCACUGGGGCAAGAUGGAUGCGGAGAAGCUUGUGAAGGACGGGCCACCGCAGGGCAAGGAGCAUCGCCACCCUGAGGUGUAUUAUGAGGGCGUCCUGAAGGGCGUCCGCCUUGUGGCGGACGAAUGUUCCAAAGAUAUAAUAUUUGAGUGA